This 492-nucleotide ribosomal RNA is filed under the name uncultured bacterium. RNAcentral describes it as "partial 16S ribosomal RNA". It matches the Rfam family "Bacterial small subunit ribosomal RNA", at positions 29 to 507 of the family's 1533-position model. The record is from RNAcentral.
AGUGAACGCUGGCGGUAGGCCUAACACAUGCAAGUCGAACGGCAGCACAGUAAGAGCUUGCUCUUACGGGUGGCGAGUGGCGGACGGGUGAGGAAUACAUCGGAAUCUACUUUUUCGUGGGGGAUAACGUAGGGAAACUUACGCUAAUACCGCAUACGACCUACGGGUGAAAGCAGGGGAUCUUCGGACCUUGCGCGAUUGAAUGAGCCGAUGUCGGAUUAGCUAGUUGGCGGGGUAAAGGCCCACCAAGGCGACGAUCCGUAGCUGGUCUGAGAGGAUGAUCGGCCACACUGGAACUGAGACACGGUCCAGACUCCUACGGGAGGCAGCAGUGGGGAAUAUUGGACAAUGGGCGCAAGCCUGAUCCAGCCAUACCGCGUGGGUGAAGAAGGCCUUAGGGUUGUAAAGCCCUUUUGUUGGGAAAGAAAAGCAGCAGGUUAAUACCCCGCUGUUCUGACGGUACCCAAAGAAUAAGCACCGGCUAACUUCGUG